GGGGGGGAAAUGGGGGGAAAGCCUGACGCGCAACGCCGCGUGCGGGAUGACGGGCUUCGGGUUGUAGAACCGCUGUCUCAGCACGGGACGAAGCUGUAUCUGUGUGACUGGUGCCUGGAGGAACAGGCCGCCGUGCUAUAGCUCACGCUGCCAGCAGCCACGCGUGAUACGCUAGGGUGCGAGCGUUGUCCGGAUUUAUUGGGCGUAAAGAGCUCGUAGGCGGUUUGUCGCGUCAGAACUGAAAGACUCAAGGCUUAACUCUGGGCCUGCUUCCCAUACAGUCAGACUAGAGGAAGGAAGGGGAAAAUGCAAUUCGCUGGUGGAGCGGGGGAAUGCACAAAUAUCAAGACGAACACCAAUGGCGAAGGCGGGUCUCUGGACCUUUCCUGACGCUCAAGAGCGAAAGCGUGGGGAGCAAACAGGCUUACAUACCCUGGUAGUCCACGCCGUAAGACGCGUCGGGUACGUAGGGUGUGGGGACCAUUCCACGGUUUCCGUGCCAAAGCUAACGCAUUCCCUACCCGCGCGCAUGGCGAGCACGGCCCCAAGGCUCAAACUCAUAGGAAGUGACGGA
Molecule: ribosomal RNA, 574 nt
Filed under: uncultured Actinomycetales bacterium
Lineage: Bacteria; Bacillati; Actinomycetota; Actinomycetes; Actinomycetales
Description: bacterial SSU rRNA
Rfam family: Bacterial small subunit ribosomal RNA
Source: RNAcentral